Molecule: long non-coding RNA, 371 nt
Organism: Pseudophryne corroboree (corroboree frog)
Lineage: Eukaryota; Metazoa; Chordata; Amphibia; Anura; Myobatrachidae
Exons: 3
Source: RefSeq, a predicted model, not a curated record
UCUCCUGUUCACGCAGCGCUCCGGGACGUCAUCACCCAGCAAUGCGGAAGAGAGCAGAGCGGGCUGGGGGCGGUGGCACCCUGGAAUAGGUGUUUUAAUUAGCACAGGUUCCUACAUUACUGACUACGUAUUGGGCUCUAUUUUAAAGGAAUGUUUCAUGGAAACCCAACUACCCAGACCCCAGAUGAGAAAGAGGAUUAGGCAAUGCUGUAAACUACAUUAGUUUCAAGACCAAUAUAGUCGUGGCAGUGGUGGAGUAUGCAGGAGAAUCAGAGAAAACUGAUGGCCCAUCUGAUAAGGAGCUACCACUGGGAAAGAUGCUGGAGUCUUUCCAUGAUCUUACUGAAGGCAAAUAAAUGUGUAAUACAGUG